CAAAUACUCCCUCCGUCCCAAAAUUCUUGUCUUAGAUUUGUCUAAAUACGGAUGUAUCAAGUCACGUCUUAGUAUUAGAUACAUCCGUAUCUAGACAAAUCCAAGACAUCAGUAUCUAGACAAAUCCAAGUCAAGAAUUUUGGAACGGAGGGAGUAUAAU
This is a non-coding RNA of Triticum aestivum (bread wheat), 160 nucleotides long. The record is from Rfam. NCBI's taxonomy places the organism in Eukaryota, Viridiplantae, Streptophyta, Magnoliopsida, Poales, Poaceae.